GUAGGGAAUAUUGGUCAAUGGACGAAAGUCUGAACCAGCCAUUCCGCGUGCAGGAAGAAGAUUCUAUGGAUUGUAAACUGCUUUUAGCAGAGAAGAAACGCCUUCAUUGAUGAGGGUUUGACGGUAUCUGCGGAAUAAGCACCGGCUAACUCCGUGCCAGCAGCCGCGGUAAUACGGGGGGUGCAAGCGUUAUCCGGAAUCACUGGGUUUAAAGGGUGCGUAGGCGGGAAAUUAAGUCAGUGGUGAAAGUCUGUUGCUUAACGAUAGAAUUGCCGUUGAUACUGAUUUUCUUGAAUUGGGUUGAGGUUAGCGGAAUGUGACAUGUAGCGGUGAAAUGCAUAGAUAUGUCAUGGAACACCAAUUGCGAAGGCAGCUAGCUGGGCCUUGAUUGACGCUGAGGCACGAAAGCGUGGGUAGCGAACAGGAUUAGAAACCCUGGUAGUCC
Molecule: ribosomal RNA, 445 nt
Filed under: uncultured bacterium
Lineage: Bacteria
Description: bacterial SSU rRNA
Rfam family: Bacterial small subunit ribosomal RNA
Source: RNAcentral